CUUGAUUGUCCCAGCUUGCAUCCUCGGAAUCCAAGUAGGAGGAAUCAAAACAGCAUCUCUACCAGGCAGGCACCAAAAUAUAUAAAGGUACUUGGGACUUCCUCACAGUACAGAAGCUGGAUUCCGAGACUGAGUGUAUCAAGAGCUCAAAGUGGGAGCGUGUGCCAUUUUUAUAACCUAGCUUAGCGGUUACAUGACAUCACCUUUGGCAUACUGCAUCAAUCAAGGUCAUUACAAAGAUUUUACAGCAGUGUGUUGAAGCACUCGGGAGAGAUCUGUGUUCUCUGGAGAUAUGGUUCGUGCUCGGAUGGAAUGAGUCAUGGGCUAAGGGAAAACCAUUGAAAGACAUUCUGUGAAGAACUAUUGUCCUGCAGGCAGCGUAAGGAAGAAAUCAGUGCUAAGAGGCGAUUGUGGGGCUGGAGAGCCGUCUUAGCAGGAGAAAGUGCUCGCUACACAAGACUGAUUUGAUUCUGGGUUUGAUCCCCAGAAUCCACAGUGGAAAGAAAGAACCCACUCCUGAAAGUUGUCUGACCUCCUCAUACGCAUCGUGGCCUGUGUAUACCAACACACACUUCACCUCCUCCCCCUCCACACAAUGACGAUGAAUACAACCAAUUUAAAAAUCCCAAA
Peromyscus maniculatus bairdii (prairie deer mouse) is the source of this 630-nucleotide non-coding RNA. NCBI's taxonomy places the organism in Eukaryota, Metazoa, Chordata, Mammalia, Rodentia, Cricetidae. The record is from RefSeq and is a predicted model, not a curated record.